CGACCGGCGCACGGGUGCGUAACGCGUAUGCAACCUACCUUUAACAGGGGGAGUAACACUGAGAAAUUGGUACUAAUACCCCAUAAUAUCAUAGAAGGCAUCUUUUUAUUGGUUGAAAAUUCCGAUGGUUAGAGAUGGGCAUGCGUUGUAUUAGCUAGUUGGUGGGGUAACGGCUCACCAAGGCGACGAUACAUAGGGGGACUGAGAGGUUAACCCCCCACCACUGGUACUGAGACACGGACCAG
This 245-nucleotide ribosomal RNA is filed under the name uncultured bacterium. RNAcentral's name for it is "partial 16S ribosomal RNA". It matches the Rfam family "Bacterial small subunit ribosomal RNA", at positions 92 to 334 of the family's 1533-position model. The record is from RNAcentral.